This 760-nucleotide small RNA is filed under the name Bryophyta environmental sample. RNAcentral describes it as "eukaryotic LSU rRNA". The stretch from base 345 to 497 matches the Rfam family "5.8S ribosomal RNA". Lineage: Eukaryota; Viridiplantae; Streptophyta. The record is from RNAcentral.
GGUGAACCUGCGGAAGGAUCAUUGCACACACAAAGUUGCAGCAAACCCCCCUUGCGAAUCUUGUGAUUGUCCCCCUUGUUUGGGGGGCUGGGGCACAGCGUUGUCGUCCUGGCCUGCCAAACAACACCCAAGUCCCCUCAGGGGAGACUUGGGGCUCCCCCGGGGGCCCCUCGUCCAUCCCUCGGGGUGACUCGGUAACCAACCGAUUGCGCAAUGCAUCAACGCUCUCCAUGACUGAGUAUAAAAGUCGGGACACUGCCCGCCUGCUCGCUUGCCCCUCCUGCGAAGGAGGUGGUGGUGGUGGUGGGUGGCUGUGCCCCCGAGUUGUGCGAUAAACAAAAAACAACUCUCAGCAACGGACAUCUUGGCUCUUGCAACGAUGAAGAACGCAGCGAAAUGCGAUACGUAGUGUGAAUUGCAGAAUUCCGCGAAUCAUCGAGUCUUUGAACGCAAGUUGCGCCCGAGGCUUGACCGAGGGCAUCUCUGCCAGAGCGUCACCGCGACACCCACCAAACCACCACUCCACGGGUGGUUUGAGUGAAAGUGGCCAUCCGAAUGGGACCGCCCGGGGGACUCCCCGGGCGGCAGAUUGGGUUGGCUGAAAUGGAGGGAAUUCGGCCGCCGUGGCGACACAGCCCGCGAUCAGGUGAUCCAGGUCCCGCCGCCCACUCGUGGGGGGCUUCCUGGAACUCAAGUGUGCGUCGGUUGUGCCGCCCAGUUGGCUCCUACUCUAUCUAUUAACGAUGAGUUGAGGGAUUCC